Molecule: unclassified non-coding RNA, 287 nt
Filed under: uncultured Gymnopus
Lineage: Eukaryota; Fungi; Basidiomycota; Agaricomycetes; Agaricales; Tricholomataceae
Description: sequence contains ITS2
Source: RNAcentral
AAUUCUCAACUUCAAUAGUUUGUAAUGAACUUUUGAUGUUUGGAUUUGGAGGUUUGCUGGCGUCUUAGAUGCUCGGCUCCUCUUAAAUGCAUUAGUGGAACCCGUUUGUUGGGCCGUCCAUGGUGUGAUAAUUAUCUACGCUUUGGUUGGUUCAAUGACUCUAUGGACUUUUUUCAGAAUGCUUAGGUGUUCUGGCAUGGGUAUUUGUAAUGUUUGCUUUACCUGGUUCAUUAGAGUUGGGACAAUCUGCUCUCUAACCGUCUGUGUAUGCGGACAAUUCCUUUGAC